Molecule: long non-coding RNA, 605 nt
Organism: Spea bombifrons (plains spadefoot toad)
Lineage: Eukaryota; Metazoa; Chordata; Amphibia; Anura; Pelobatidae
Exons: 2
Source: RefSeq, a predicted model, not a curated record
CACCUACACUUUCCUACUCUGUAUGCCUCACCCAAGAUUCCCCACUGUGUCUGUCUGUCACACACUGCCACACUGUGUCUGUCUACCCCACUCAUGCCUUCCCACUCUAUCUGUGACACCUAUUUCCACUAUAUCUGGCAGUCUCACUCAUGCUUCCCUACUCUGUCUGGCUCUCUUGUGUUUUCUCACUGUCUGUCUCACACUUCCCUACUGUGUCUCUUUCUCGGUCAUGCUUUCCCACUGCAUCUGUGUGUCUGCCUCACGAUUCCCCACUGUGUCUCUUUCUCGCUCAUGCUUUCUCCACUGUGUCUGUGUCACUCUGUCUCACUUCAUUUCUGUGUCUCAUUUCUGCUCCCUCUCUCUGUUUGUCUUGCUUAUGUUUUCUGCCUGUAUUAAUGUCCAUAUUAUUUUGGUCUUUAAAGGUGGAAUAUGAUGAAGGAAUGUGGUCUUUUAAGUCAGCAAAGCUCCAGGAGGCAAUUGAAGACACCAAUAUGUUUUAUCUGACUCAUGAAGUGAAAUCUUGGACAAAGUCACCUAGAGGAUUGCGGUAUAUAAUUCUCAGCAAAUGGCACUGUGUUUGCCUCAUAACAUUUGAAGAACACAUG